Molecule: transfer RNA, 74 nt
Filed under: Oculatella sp. LEGE 06141
Lineage: Bacteria; Bacillati; Cyanobacteriota; Cyanophyceae; Oculatellales; Oculatellaceae
Rfam family: tRNA
About the family: Transfer RNA (tRNA) molecules are approximately 80 nucleotides in length. Their secondary structure includes four short double-helical elements and three loops (D, anti-codon, and T loops). Further hydrogen bonds mediate the characteristic L-shaped molecular structure. tRNAs have two regions of fundamental functional importance: the anti-codon, which is responsible for specific mRNA codon recognition, and the 3' end, to which the tRNAs corresponding amino acid is attached (by aminoacyl-tRNA synthetases). tRNAs cope with the degeneracy of the genetic code in two manners: having more than one tRNA (with a specific anti-codon) for a particular amino acid; and 'wobble' base-pairing, i.e. permitting non-standard base-pairing at the 3rd anti-codon position.
Source: Rfam by way of RNAcentral
ACUCCUGUAGCCCAAUCGGAAGAGGCGGCUGUCUCAAAAACAGUCUUGUGCGGGUUCAAAUCCCACCAGGAGUA